AUGAACGCUGGCGGCGUGCCUAAUACAUGCAAGUCGAGCGAACAGACGAGGAGCUUGCUCCUCUGACGUUAGCGGCGGACGGGUGAGUAACACGUGGAUAACCUACCUAUAAGACUGGGAUAACUUCGGGAAACCGGAGCUAAUACCGGAUAAUAUAUUGAACCGCAUGGUUCAAUAGUGAAAGACGGUUUUGCUGUCACUUAUAGAUGGAUCCGCGCCGCAUUAGCUAGUUGGUAAGGUAACGGCUUACCAAGGCAACGAUGCGUAGCCGACCUGAGAGGGUGAUCGGCCACACUGGAACUGAGACACGGUCCAGACUCCUACGGGAGGCAGCAGUAGGGAAUCUUCCGCAAUGGGCGAAAGCUUGACGGAGCAACGCCGCGUGAGUGGUGAAGGUCUUCGGAUCGUAAAACUCUGUUAUUAGGGAAGAACAAAUGUGUAAGUAACUAUGCACGUCUUGACGGUACCUAAUCAGAAAGCCACGGCUAACUACGUG
RNAcentral lists this ribosomal RNA (496 nucleotides) under uncultured bacterium. RNAcentral describes it as "partial 16S ribosomal RNA". It matches the Rfam family "Bacterial small subunit ribosomal RNA", at positions 29 to 507 of the family's 1533-position model. The record is from RNAcentral.